GGAGAAUCAUAAAACUUUAUAUAGAAUCUGUCGCUGUCUAUCGACAGCUUUGUCUGAAGAAUCUCUGCAAUGGUUGAACUGAGUUUGCCAUUCACACUAGGUCCAAGACCUCCAAUGGAGAUUAAUUCUCCAUAUGCAGCAGGAGCUUCAGUACCAGCAAACGCAAUAGGAACUCCUCCAUUCAACAAGAUCAUCACAUACUAGGGAAAAAACAAGUAGAGUUACGUCAACAUACUUGAUAUUUCCAAAGCAGUAAACUCAUUCUACCAUAGAGUUAAACUAAGAGAUAAUCAGAUUAUUUCUAGUUGUGCUUGUAAUUAAAAAUCCACGGUAGAAUUUUAUAUCAAGAACUCUUUGAUACGGAGAAGCUUACUACACCAUUUCAUUCUAAAGAAACUAAACUACGCACAAUAUAACCUCUCCUUAAACCAACUCUAUGUUCAUAUAUUGAAAAUCUGAUCCUUAUAAUCAGCAAUAUGAAAAAACAACCCGUCUUUUUAGUCAUCCCGCAAUUGCUGGAAGCUAGUUUUCUACUUACAGGAAAAAAGGGUAAUAAAUUUACUCUUCUUCUGCUUUGGAAUAAAGAAAUGCUAAGAGAACACUUGAAUAUCCGCUAUACUAGCACAAAAAGAAAUAGAGUAGAAGAGCAAGCUCUAAAUGAAACAACCCGACUGCCAAAGUUUCCAUGCAACUAGAAUUGGCAUCAAAAUAGUUAUUGGAUUCUGCAUUUCUAAUCUACCAACAUAAAUGUAAUAGAAACCAAAGAACAAUUCCUCUCAGUUGUGACCCCAAACUAACAAAUAACUAUUUACAAAUUAUAUGCAUUUAAGACUAAUCUUAAUGGUUAAGGUGGAAGUGCUGAGUCUCAAGUUUAAAACCCAUCAAAAGCAUGAAUUUACAUCCAAGCAUUUUUUUAGAUGAUUGUGGUGUUUGGCCCGCGUUCUCGCACCUUGACUAAUUUCACGGAAUAACUACCACCUCUCACCAACAACAAGUACUAGGUAACUCUAUCGAUCAAGGCUAGGACAGACGGAAAGAAAAAUUUAAACUUGAGAUCUCACUGCUCUCAACCACUUCAUUGACCACUAGGCCACACCCUUAGGUGCGAAUUUAAGAGUCAAUAUUCUCCCUACUACCAUGUGCUUUAGGAUACUGAUUUCCUCCUGUUGUUGGUGUAAAUAUUUAUAGUGCUAACAUGCUCUUCAUUAACAACUACCUUGGUCUCUCAUAGCUAACCCAAUCAUUCAUGAUUUUGAGCAACAAAGGGCUAAAUCUGUCUUUCUACUCAUCUCACUUCCCUAACUUUUUCAAGGUAAAAGAUAAAUAUGCCUCUCAACUUUGCGAUUCAAAGUAGAUAUCACUCGUUAAAAGAAUGGUCCAUAUAUACUCAUAUCGUCCUAGUUUAUUCUGCUUAUAGGUUUUUGAGACGAGGAUUUCCAGGAAACAGCCUCUUUACCUCCGUUGAGGUAGUGGUAAGGCUUGCGUACACUCUACCCUUUCCAAACCCCACUUAUGGGAUUCCACUGGUAUGUUGUUGUGGUAUAUACUCCUAUCGUCUACCCUUUUAAUUAAUAGACCGAAUUAAAAAAAUCCCAAAACUAAUUUUUUAAUUCCAAAAAUGCACACACCUUUAACAGUUUACCUCACCCAUUUUUUUCCUCCACCGUGUAAGGAAAAUUCUAAUAGCUUAGUUGGUUGGCUACACGAACUUUCAGUAUUUCUCCGCAUGAGUGGAAUUAUGGAGCUAUUACCAAACCAAUUUUAUUUCCAACCUAAAAAAAUUAGAAGUGAAGAAUGAUUUAUAAUUAACACUAAAUAAUUUGAAUAAAGUUUUGUGAGGGGAAUAUUAUCAAGCAGGUAGUAGUCAAUAUAAAUGUUUGGGGAGAAAAUGACUUAACUGACUCAGGUUUGCCUAUGAUUUUAGCAACAGCUUUAGUAGCAUCUUUGAGAAUAUCAGAAGCAACUACUGCAUCUACAGGUAAAUUUGUGAACAGAUUCAGAGUUGGCAUUCUUCUAUUCUGUUCCUCAAAUAACGAAAUAGUUGGGGAAGGAAAUGGGUGGUUUACAGUUAAACAAUAAUCACUUCAUAGAUAUUGUUUGAAGGAGGAAAAGGAGCUUCUCUCUUUGUUUUUUUAUAUUUAAGAUUAACUUGAUUAAACUUCGUAGUUAUUCCCUCGUUCAAUUUUACUUGGCACAGUGAUUAAGAAGUAAUAAAUGAUGAGAAAAUUUUUAUUAAAUUACCCUUUGAAUAUAUAUGAUGCUUGAAAAAUGUAAUAGGAAAAUCACUAUAAUUAAUGAUAAGGAUAAAUUAGGAAUUAAAUUUAAUAAAGUGGACAAGUAUUGUUGGACAUCUCAAAAUAAUAUAGGGAUCAAGUAAAGUUGAACGAAGGGAAUAAAUUAAAGUAGCUAAAUUUAAAAUUUUGAUAAUUAAAAAUUAUAUAAAAAAAUAUUAUAAAUAGCAAUCUUUUCCAUAUUACUAUAAUAAAAUAAUAUAUUUUAAAAUGUUGAUUAAAGUUCAUAUAAUUUGCCCUUAGUAAAUGAAAUAGUAAUAACUAAAAGUGAACGGAGUAACUACUGAAUAUUCGACCUUCCUCCAAAGUCCAAUAUAUAUCUCAUUUUCUUUGUCUCAAAUCUCAAUGGAAAUUGGAAAAGUCAAUCAUUUUUUUAAUUACUCAAGAAUCAAUGAAAAAUUUUAAAAUAUAUUUUAAUUUAUUAAUAAUAUAUUUUAAAAUUCAUGAAAUAUUUUGAUUGAACCGCAUGUAAUAAGAAGGGAAUGAAGCAAGCAGCUUAAGAGGGUCAAAUUAUUAAUUGUGGUUAGUGGGACCAAUUCUAUUGGUAUGCAAAAAUUAAAAGUUGUAGAUGGGGUUUGAACCCCAGACGUCUAGGGGUGUUGAUGGACGGGGUUGGUUCAGAUUUUUUAAAUAUCAAACCAAACCAUUUAUAUUGGGUUUUUAAAUAUAAAAAUCAAACCAAACCAAUAACAUUCGGGUUUUUCAACCUCGGAUUUUCUCAAUUUUUUUCGGGUUUUCGGGUUUUUCGGAUUUUUUGGGUUUUUUCAAGUUUUCAAAUUUUGACUUUUUCAUUUUGAAAUUCUCGUGUUUUUGAGUUUUUUUCCUAAUUUUUUGAUAAAGUAUUUAUAAAAACAUAUAAUUAACUUAUGAUUCAAAUAUUUCUUUAGUCCUACUAAAAUACAAAUAUCUAAAAUUCUUUUAAAGAAAAAUACAAAAUAUGAUAUUAGUAUAACAACAACAACAACAACAACAUACCCAGUGAAAUCCCACAAGUGGGGUCUUGGGAGGGUAGAAUGUACGCAGACCUUACCACUACCGAAGUAGAGAGCCUGUUUCCUGGGAACCCUCAUCUCAAAAUCCAACAAAAUAGGAUAUUAGUGAAGACACAAAAAUAUUCAAUAAAAAAUAAUAAUAAGAUCACAUAAAUAAAUAUUGCAAAUAAAUAAGUCAUAAUUGUUAUGAAAUAAAUCUAAAAUUGACUAGACCAAAUUUAUAGCAGAAUGAAAUAAGAAGACUAAAACUUAGGGAGAGAAAGAUUAUAUUAUUUGCUUUAUGCUGUAUAUUUCCGUGUGUUCUUUUGCCUCAAAGAGACAUGUAUUUAUAGUACUAAGUGGCCAUCAUUUUGGCCAAAAUAUAUCAUACUAUAUUCCAUCCACUUGGGGACAAAGCCAAGUGGAUGUGUGUACAAUUUCCACUCAACACUCCCCCUAAAUUGUACAUGUAAAAGAAACAAAAAUGUUCAUUUAUUAGAGAAUAUGCCUCGUUAAAACCUUACUAGGAAAAACCCUGUGGGAUAAAAACCUAGUGAAGGAAAAAGAGUACAUAUAACCUNAUUUCAGUUUAAGGUAGAAGACAAGAGAAACACUAAAUUUGAAAAAGUAGCCCUAUGCUGGACAUCUGAAAUAUGCAUCACAAUUUAUAUCCCUUGGCACCACGAAACCAACAAUCGAGUUGUACAGACCUUGUACAAAAGUAUCACCAUUGAACAUGUCAAAAGGGUUUACUUCUUCGUUCAGACGAAGUCUUAAGGUGCUGCUCUACCAACAAGUUCCUUCAACAGACUCCAGGAGCAGUUAUUUUUAAGCAGGUCCAUCAAAAAGUUGAGCCAUUGAACCCAAAAAAUGGGCGCUGCAUGCAAAGAAAAGGAUUUUCGGUUAAGCAUUGACAAAACCUUUACAUUGAUGUAAGAUUAAAGCACAAGAACCAAGCUAAAUGCAGCAACAACUCAAGUUUGUGCUGGUGCCUGGUUGAGCAUAGAGAAUUGCAACUAAAAAGUAGGUUAUAAUAACAUGUCUACUUAUUAUGUAUGGAUUCAGAUUCUAGUGACUUGAUUGGGAUUGAGACAUAGUUGUUGUCAUUGCUAGCGUUUGUUCUUGUUGAUCAGGUUAUAUUUCAAAAUAGAGCCAAUUCCAAUAGGAUUUUAGGAUAUCCACUGAUGCAUCCCAAUAUGGGUAGUUCAACUCUAACAAAUCGGCAAUCAGUUAUGAAUAGGAUUCCAUACACCAACUGAAAGAAUAUACUGAGGAAAUAGCAAUGCAGUUAGGGAGUUCGUUGAGGUAUGUGCAAGAUGACACACCACAGUUAUUCUAGAAAAAAAAGGUCAACGAAAGGACAUCAAUUCAACCUCAGCUUAAAUUAACAUGUAAGUUGUUUUCAAUAUGGUUACAGUAGUUCUUCUUCACAAAUUUAAGAACAAAUAUCACAGCUAAUUUGAUAAAUAUUCAAAUUUCAUCUAUUAUUCCCCUCAUUGUAGAGUGAUCCUUACUAAUAAACAAGUUGCAAUAUACUCGAUAUAUCACGCCAGCUUUUAAAAACACAAACAAGGUCUAAACUUCGCUAGGGUUGAUUGAACUAGUUCUGUUUGAUCCAGGUGUCUAAAAGGAAAGCAGUGGAUCAUUUCUUUAGUUGUUCAAGACAAAGGGAAGCGCAUUGCACAUAAUUGCAGUGGACGAAGGAGGGGGAUGGAGGUAGGAGAAAAUGCUGAACAUCAUUUCCUCUUUGUUCUCGUAAAGCCUUACCGGAGAAUCAUAAAACUUUAUAUAGAAUCUGUCGCUGUCUAUCGACAGCUUUGUCUGAAGAAUCUCUGCAAUGGUUGAACUGAGUUUGCCAUUCACACUAGGUCCAAGACCUCCAAUGGAGAUUAAUUCUCCAUAUGCAGCAGGAGCUUCAGUACCAGCAAACGCAAUAGGAACUCCUCCAUUCAACAAGAUCAUCACAUA
Molecule: long non-coding RNA, 5230 nt
Filed under: Solanum pimpinellifolium
Lineage: Eukaryota; Viridiplantae; Streptophyta; Magnoliopsida; Solanales; Solanaceae
Description: long non-coding RNA (SPIM_LNC000171)
Source: RNAcentral